Molecule: unclassified non-coding RNA, 329 nt
Organism: Erinaceus europaeus (western European hedgehog)
Lineage: Eukaryota; Metazoa; Chordata; Mammalia; Eulipotyphla; Erinaceidae
Gene: 7SK
Rfam family: 7SK RNA
About the family: 7SK was discovered as an abundant small nuclear RNA in the mid-70s but a possible function has only recently been suggested. Two independent studies have found that 7SK RNA binds the CDK9/cyclin T complex (known as elongation factor P-TEFb). P-TEFb activates transcription by phosphorylating the C-terminal domain of RNA polymerase II.
Source: Ensembl
GGAUGUAAGUGCAGUCUGACUGUGACAGCUGUCAUUGAUACCCAGGAUUCAACAGAUCUGGCUGGCUAGAUUGGUGUCCCCUUCCUCCCUCACUACUCCAUGUUGCAUGUAUCCCUCCCCAAGCUGCAUACUCUACAGAGGAUGAACUUCCAAUAAAGAAGAACCUUUCUUUAUUUGGGGUAUAUGAAUAGUUGUAUUGCCUUUCCUAGGAUCUCUGAACAAAUUUUCAAGGCCCAUUUGUAGGAGAAUGCGUUGUAGUCAAGUUUCCAAGACUCUAGACACAGCCAAAUGAGGUGCUGUAGUUGCCAUAAAAAAAGUCACAUAUAUUU